AUACGUAGGUGGCGAGCGUUGUCCGGAAUCAUUGGGCGUAAAGAGCGCGUAGGCGGCUUGUCAGGUCUGAUGUGAAAUGCCGGGGCUCAACUCCGGACGUGCAUCAGAAACCGGCUUGCUAGAGUCUGGGAGAGGGAAGUGGAAUUCCUGGUGUAGCGGUGAAAUGCGCAGAUAUCAGGAGGAACACCGGUAGCGAAGGCUGCUUCCUGGAACAGUACUGACGCUGAGGCGCGAAAGCUAGGGUAGCAAAGAGGAUUAGAUACCCUGGUAGUCCUAGCCGUAAACGAUGGACACUAGGUGUCGGGAGUGUCGACUCUCCCGGUGCCGAAGCUAACGCAUUAAGUGUCCCGCCUGGGGAGUACGGCCGCAAGGUUAAA
Molecule: ribosomal RNA, 377 nt
Filed under: uncultured bacterium
Lineage: Bacteria
Description: bacterial SSU rRNA
Rfam family: Bacterial small subunit ribosomal RNA
Source: RNAcentral